Molecule: ribosomal RNA, 254 nt
Filed under: uncultured bacterium
Lineage: Bacteria
Description: partial 16S ribosomal RNA
Rfam family: Bacterial small subunit ribosomal RNA
Source: RNAcentral
UACGUAGGGUGCAAGCGUUGUCCGGAAUUAUUGGGCGUAAAGAGCUCGUAGGCGGUCUGUCGCGUCUGCUGUGAAAACCUGGGGCUUAACCCCGGGCCUGCAGUGGGUACGGGCAGACUAGAGUGUGGUAGGGGAGACUGGAAUUCCUGGUGUAGCGGUGAAAUGCGCAGAUAUCAGGAGGAACACCGGUGGCGAAGGCGGGUCUCUGGGCCAUAACUGACGCUGGAGGCGCGAAAGCGUGGGGAGCAAACAGG